Molecule: transfer RNA, 66 nt
Filed under: Aristaeopsis edwardsiana
Lineage: Eukaryota; Metazoa; Arthropoda; Malacostraca; Decapoda; Aristeidae
Description: tRNA-Gly
Source: RNAcentral
GCCUUUUUAGUAUAAAAAGUAUAUUUGGCUUCCAACCAGAAGGACUAGAUUGUUCUAGAAAAGGCA